Molecule: transfer RNA, 64 nt
Filed under: Cherax crassimanus
Lineage: Eukaryota; Metazoa; Arthropoda; Malacostraca; Decapoda; Parastacidae
Description: tRNA-His
Rfam family: tRNA
About the family: Transfer RNA (tRNA) molecules are approximately 80 nucleotides in length.
Source: RNAcentral
AUUUAAAUAGUUUAAUAAAAAUGUUGGUUUGUGGAGCCAGGGAUAUAAUUAGUUAUUUUAAAUA